This 471-nucleotide ribosomal RNA is filed under the name uncultured organism. Its description in RNAcentral is "partial 16S ribosomal RNA". It matches the Rfam family "Bacterial small subunit ribosomal RNA", at positions 335 to 797 of the family's 1533-position model. The record is from RNAcentral.
ACUCCUGCGGGAGGCAGCAGUGGGGAAUUUUGGACAAUGGGCGAAAGCCUGAUCCAGCAAUGCCGCGUGUGUGAAGAAGGCCUUCGGGUUGUAAAGCACUUUUGUCCGGAAAGAAAUCCUUGGCUCUAAUACAGUCGGGGGAUGACGGUACCGGAAGAAUAAGCACCGGCUAACUACGUGUCAGCAGCCGCGGUAAUACGUAGGGUGCGAGCGUUAAUCGGAAUUACUGGGCGUAAAGCGUGCGCAGGCGGUUUGCUAAGACCGAUGUGAAAUCCCCGGGCUCAACCUGGGAACUGCAUUGGUGACUGGCAGGCUAGAGUAUGGCAGAGGGGGGUAGAAUUCCACGUGUAGCAGUGAAAUGCGUAGAGAUGUGGAGGAAUACCGAUGGCGAAGGCAGCCCCCUGGGCCAAUACUGACGCUCAUGCACGAAAGCGUGGGGAGCAAACAGGAUUAGAUACCCGUGUAGUCCCA